UUUUUGGUUUCAUUCUCCUAGGGUUUCUAUUGUUUUGGACAUGCUCUCAUGGGUGCUUGCUUGGUGCACGGUUUUGGACCAUUUUCAAUGAAUAUUAUGAAGAUUUUCUUCUUCCCUUGACUCACUCUUGGUUGUCUUAACUCAUUGGUGGUGAAAAUCCAUUCAUUCCUCCUUCCAUUUGCUUGUUUUUGAUGUUUGAAGCUUGAGUUUUUAAGCUUGUCUUUGCUUUUCUAUGGUGGUUUUUGGGUUUGAGUGACUUUAGAUUUUCGUUUCCUCUUCCAUUGCUUCUGUUCCUCACGUUUUUCUUUGCAUUUUAUUUGGUUGGUUGAUGAAAAUGGAAUUCUAUGUGAGUUUUGGGUUGAAUAGAGCUUAACUUGAUGUGUGGGUGUUGUGGGUUUGGCUCUUUUCCUUCAUAUUUCGGUUUUGAUGUUUGAAAAUAGUUUGGAACCAGACUUUGAUGAUGUUAUUGGGGCUGGACAGUGGUUGAGUUGAAUGGUAUAAUGUUAUUUUCGUUUUUUGCACAAGAGCUUGAAAAAAUNGAAGAUUGGGUUGAGUUGAAGUAGUAGUAGUGUGGGUUUAUUGUCUUGAAUGGAGUUGCAACUUCAAAUGGGGUCUCUUGGGUGCUCAUUCUUGGUAUUGAGGAGAGGAAGAAAGAUUAUGAAGGUGUGUUUUGGUGAAGGAAACGAAAAUGGUGUGUAGAAAGGAGAGAGAAUGAUGCAUUAAUUUUUUUACCACUUUUGGGCAAACAAAAAAGAUGNUNAUUUUCAUUCUAGGAAGAUUUCCAUUUUGAGCUUUGGCUUUGUUUGAAUUUAAGCCAUGAAUUGCCUUUGCAUGGGAGGUCUUUGGUUGUUUAAUUUCAUUUGGUCUUGCCUACAUGGCACUUUGGUUGGAGCACACAAUGUAUCUUCCAUUUGCACAUGGGUUUUUGAANUAUUUUUUGUAGGAAUCACUUGGUAGGUUCGGCAUUUUGUGGUCUUGGAGUGUGGAUUUCGAAUUUUGCUGCAUGGAGAAGACUAAGGAAUGGUUUUCAAUUGGAUGUUUAAGUAUAUUUUAAUUUCUUUUGAGAAUUGGUGCACAUGGGACAAAAGACAACACAUUUAGAAGUUAAAUGAAAGUAGAAUUUUGAAUUUGGACCUUUGAAACAUCUCUCACAGCCAUGUGCUUUUAUUUGGCCAAUUGGACUUUUAAAUUCAUUUUUUAAUUGCCAUUGUGUCAAGUGAUUUGUUAGGAUUAAAUUAGGCUUGUUGGUUUCUUUUGUUUUCAAUUAAAUUGCUUAGUAGGUUGAGUUGUUUUUAUGUGUUUAAGUUAGUUUUG
This 1314-nucleotide long non-coding RNA is filed under the name Vigna radiata. Its description in RNAcentral is "long non-coding RNA (VRAD_LNC016058)". Lineage: Eukaryota; Viridiplantae; Streptophyta; Magnoliopsida; Fabales; Fabaceae. The record is from RNAcentral.